CCCUUAGAUGUUCUGGGCCGCACACGCGCUACACUGAAGGAGGCAGCGUGUACUCCUGGAUCGAAAGAUUUGGGUAACCCGCGAAUCUCCUUCGUGCUAGGGAUUGAGGUUUGCAAUUAUCCUUCAUGAACGAGGAAUUCCCAGUAAGUGCAAGUCAUAAGCUUGCGCUGACUACGUCCCUGCCCUUUGCACACACCGCCCGUCGCUACUACCGAUUGAAUGAUUUAGUGAGGACUUCGGACUGGGACCGAUGCGGCUUUCGGGCUGCGUCGGUAUUCUGGAAAGAUGUCCAAACUGUAUCAUUUAGAGGAAGUAAAAGUCGUANCA
This 327-nucleotide ribosomal RNA is filed under the name uncultured eukaryote. RNAcentral's name for it is "partial 18S ribosomal RNA". It matches the Rfam family "Eukaryotic small subunit ribosomal RNA", at positions 1470 to 1796 of the family's 1831-position model. The record is from RNAcentral.